This 257-nucleotide long non-coding RNA is filed under the name Gossypium raimondii (Peruvian cotton). Its description in RNAcentral is "long non-coding RNA (GRAI_LNC004666)". Lineage: Eukaryota; Viridiplantae; Streptophyta; Magnoliopsida; Malvales; Malvaceae. The record is from RNAcentral.
AUGGAACCAAAUAACACAAUCAAACAUCAAUAGUAACAUUUUUAUGUAACAUGUGUUGGAACGCCGGCACCUAUACGACGCAGCGGAAAAUUAAAACAUUCAGUGAUCCUAACCAUGGAUCCAUGUGUGAGGAACGAAUUGGGGUGAAAUAAAGGUUUUGAAAUUACCGAAUCUUUAUACUGAGUAGACAGUAAUGCCUCAGCAACGAGUAAUCUGAUCUACUAUCGAAUCAAGCCGCAAUCUAUCGUGACUCUGGC